AUGGUCUCCGGUCGGUGGGCUCCUCCACGCCAAGCUUGGGCCUCCCGGCGACCGCUGCAGGCCCAAGUUGUCCUGAAGUCGGCCUCUCCUGGCCCUGCCUCCCAGCAAGUAAGCAAGCUCUUUUGGCUCAACUCCUGCCCAGCUCCCAACCGCCUUUCUAGGCCCCGAACUUUCUCCAGCCAAGCUCUGAGGGCCCACCUCCUGCCUCCUGGUGGCCUGUACAGGCCCAGCACUGGUUGGAGAACAGCCUCUGCAGGCCCCGCCCUUGCCUACCAGGGGCCUCUCCAGGCGCAGCUCUUGCCCCCACGGCGGCCUCCCGGGGCCAAGUCCCUGCCUGCCUCCCAGCAGCCCACGUGCGGCCCAGCUCCUCUCUCACGGUGGCCUGUUGAUGCCCACCCUCCCACGCGGACAGAGGUCAGCCUGAGCCCCUUGCCUCACACCGGCCCCUCCCACGCGGACAGAGGUCAGCCUGAGCCCCUUGCCUCACACCGGCCCCUCCCACGCUGA
This 507-nucleotide long non-coding RNA is filed under the name Homo sapiens (human). RNAcentral's name for it is "non-protein coding LINC01000:12". The record is from RNAcentral. Lineage: Eukaryota; Metazoa; Chordata; Mammalia; Primates; Hominidae.